CCAAUAGCGUAUAUUAAAGUUGUUGCAGUUAAAAAGCUCGUAGUUGAAUUUCGGGAUUGACACAUCGGUCGUGCCUUAAGGGGUAUGAACUGGUGUAGUCAGUUUCUCACCUUCUGGAGAACCGCGAUGUCCUUAAUUGGGUGCCGCGAGGAACCAGGACCUUUACUUUGAAAAAAUUAGAGUGUUUAAAGCAGGCCUUUUGCUUGAAUACAUUAGCAUGGAAUAAUAAAAUAGGACGGAUGGUUCUAUUUUGUUGGUUUCUAGGAUCACCGUAAUGAUUAAUAGGGAUAGUUGGGGGCAUUAGUAUUCAAUUGUCAGAGGUGAAAUUCUUGGAUUUAUUGAAGACUAACUACUGCGAAAGCAUUUGCCAAGGAUGUUUUCAUUAAUCAAGAACGAAAGUUAGGGGAUCGAAGACGAUCAGAUACCGUCGUAGUCUUAACCAUAAACUAUGCCGACUAGGAAUCAGACGAUGUUAAUUUUUUAAUGACUCGUUUGGCACCUUACG
This 505-nucleotide ribosomal RNA is filed under the name uncultured Glomeromycotina. Its description in RNAcentral is "partial small subunit ribosomal RNA". It matches the Rfam family "Eukaryotic small subunit ribosomal RNA", at positions 591 to 1092 of the family's 1831-position model. Lineage: Eukaryota; Fungi; Glomeromycota. The record is from RNAcentral.